Long non-coding RNA from Drosophila innubila, 428 nucleotides. RefSeq lists it as uncharacterized. The record is from RefSeq and is a predicted model, not a curated record. The transcript is spliced from 2 exons. Lineage: Eukaryota; Metazoa; Arthropoda; Insecta; Diptera; Drosophilidae.
ACUAAGAAUCACAGUAAAUAUUUCAAGUUUGAUUUGUAAAACUAAAUUUCAUUCGUGCUACUGAAAUCUUUCAAUUGAGACAUAUUGAAACCUUUUUGAGUUCUCCUAAUCUUCAAGAAGAAUGUUACCAUGGUAUCGUCUACGUCCAAAGAGUUGGUUUCAUAAUAUUCAAUGGGAUCGGGCUUCGGGAGAAUUUUUUAAAUGCACCGUAUUGUUCUGUCUCGGAAUAAUUCUGCUAAAGCGAUUGGGGCGUGGACUGCCCUCAUUAAAGAUUGUCGAAACCUACUUGACUCCGAAAAAAAACUAAGCGAUCGAUGACGGACAAGUGCAAUUUAUAUGGCAAAUAUUUGUUAAACAUAAAUUAAGCGAAGUCAAAUUACACUUUCAUUCACAAUGUAAUGACCAAAAUAUAAUGAAAAUAUUGGAAA